UCUUGUCGGUGGCUUUCCUUUAUCUUGAAGAUUAAGCCAUGCAUGUCUAAGUAUGAACUGGUUUAAGGUGAAACUGCGUACGGCUCAUUACAUCAGCUAUAACUUUCUUUGAUCAUAACUCCUAAAUGGAAUAACCGAGGAAAAGCCUGGGCUAAUACAUGCGAAAAUUCCGGUAGCAAUAUCGGAAUGCUUUUAUUAGAUCAAAACCUUCUAGUUCUUUCAUCGGAACUGUUUGUUGGUGACUCUAAAUAACUUUGUGUUGAUCGUAUGACCUUUUGUGUCGACGACAUAUCUUUCAAGUGUCUGACUUAUCAACUUUUAGACGGUACAUUAUAUGUCUACCGUGGUUGUAACGAGUACAGAGAAAUCGAGGGUUUUGGUUCUGGAGAGGGCCGCCUGAGAAACGGCGACCACUUCCAAGGAAGGCAGC
This 430-nucleotide ribosomal RNA is filed under the name uncultured eukaryote. RNAcentral describes it as "SSU rRNA". It matches the Rfam family "Eukaryotic small subunit ribosomal RNA", at positions 12 to 429 of the family's 1831-position model. The record is from RNAcentral.